Molecule: microRNA precursor, 89 nt
Filed under: Canis lupus familiaris (dog)
Lineage: Eukaryota; Metazoa; Chordata; Mammalia; Carnivora; Canidae
Description: mir-8799 microRNA precursor family
Rfam family: mir-8799 microRNA precursor family
Source: Rfam by way of RNAcentral
GGGGGGAGGCCGGAUCCUGGGCUGUGUCCCGGCGCCCUGGGCUCCGGAGCCUGCGCUGUUGGAUUCGCGCUCCCGGGCCGCAGCCCCCU